Meriones unguiculatus (Mongolian gerbil) is the source of this 826-nucleotide long non-coding RNA. RefSeq lists it as uncharacterized. Lineage: Eukaryota; Metazoa; Chordata; Mammalia; Rodentia; Muridae. The transcript has 4 exons. The record is from RefSeq and is a predicted model, not a curated record.
UUUCUUCUUCCCAGAAUUCUGCUGUCCUCAUCUUUUUAUAUUUGUUUCACUCCUGAGACAGAGUCUUACGAAGCCAAAGCUGACAUCAAGGAUGCCACGUGGCUGACAAUGUGACUCUGAAUUCCAGAUCCUCCCAAGCGCUUGGACAUAGGUGAAGGGGAUCCUGUGGCUAUCUAAAUCCUCCAUUCACAUUCAACUCCCGAGUCUCUAGUGUGUGCCUUUAUGCAUGCUGAUUAACCUCUCUGGACCUCAUUUUAAUCACCUGUAAGAUGAUAUUAUGGCACGAGGUUGUUGUGAGGAGCAAGCAUGUGAAUACACAGAGAACAUUUGGAGCAUCGGCGGAAAACCUUCCUUGGACUCAGCUACCACAGUGAAUUCUGGUAUCCACUUAGGUGGCAGUGGAAAUAACGGUGUACCGAUGUGAACAAGCAGCUUCACACGCUUGCUGCCACAGCUGAGAACCGUUCUCUUUGCUUUGCUCUCCAUGCUCUGAUGGACCUUACCCUUAAACCAUUAGUCAAAAGAAACCCUUCAACAGGUGAUGGCAUCCUGCCUUGUGCUGGAGCAAGGAAGAAGAAUGCUGGUCUCCAACUAUGUUCUUAUACAGAAAGGGCAUCUGGGGCUCACCAGAGGAAAGCUCAAAAGCCAUGUGAGAGAGCCAAAUUAAAGCCUCAGAACUUUGGAAGAGAGAAGGUUUGAAUUACUGCCAGACCAGCCUUACCAGGCCACAGAAGAAGACAAUGAAACCACUACUGAUGAGCCGUGAUAGACGAGGAUCAGAGGGAAGGGGAGGAGGACCUCCUUUUUCAGUGGACUGGGAGAGGGA